GUGCAGGCACUCGAGUUGGGACUUACAAGACAGCCUUCCUAUUUCUCAGGAAAAUCAGCGCGGGUUUGGGGGAUGCGAAGGGACUCCGGGAGGAGCGGGGCCGAGGGCCGAGAGUGACCCUCGGCGAAAGCGCCCCAGAGCGAUCGUCCGGGUCCGACUCUUCCUCCCUUUUCCCGCAGCAGAUUCCGGUGGGAUCAUGGACAAGAGCGUCAGCUGUGGUUUGGGAGGCCGGAUGGGGCGGGAGAGGCGGGAAGGGACCUGACAGUGGGCCCGCGAUGCCGGGUCCCUUCCUGUGGGUGUCCGCACGUCGCAUGGCCGUCUCGCCGCCGAUGCGGGGCUGAAAGCGCCCCCGCGCCCCGGGUUUUGACCCCGACCCUUCGCAGCGCAGCGCCGGGCCGGGCCGGGAGCGCGCGGUCCCGGCGCGGAGCAAGGACUGCAAUCCCGCUCUGCGCCACACGAGGGCUCCGCCAGGCACCUGCCGGUCACCCGGGCGCUGUCUGCACCGAGCUCUCUUUUCUGCGAUGCUUUGAGUCUCCGAACAAAUCCUAACCGGAGGAGCUGGGCUCCCGGGACGCACAUUUCUGCACUGUUCCUCUGCCGCCUUGAGGUUACUUGGCCGCACUCAGGUCCUUGGCCCGGCGCUUCUUAAACUACCGCGUACACGCGGAUUGCCCUGCCCCGGUUAAAAUGCAGAUCCGGACGCAGCGGGUCUGGGCUGGGGCCUGGGACACGCAUUCCCAGCCAGCCGGGUGAUACCGAAGUUCAACCAGGUUUGGAGUCCAACACUGUGGACAAAGGGGUUGCAAACCCAGGAGGGGCUGUGCCCGGACUCGCAGGAGCGCGAGUGGCCGUCGCCCGGGCAGCCGUGGGCAGGGCCUGGGCGCCCCACCGAGCCCCCGCCAGCCACAUGGGUCCCUUCCACCCACCCCACGGCUGACCUUCACCUUUCCGAAAUAUCUUAGGGAGUCGACCCACAGCGACGUUACGUCCCGGCCCCUGCGUGCCCACUGCACUGGCAGAAUGAUGAGUCCCAUCCGAGGGGGCUGAGGCUCAGGACGAGGAGAAGGCGCUAACUUGUGUAAUUAGAACUUGGGACGGGGCCGGAGGCGCGUGGUGCCCAGGGAGAGUUAUCUAGGGAUCUUCGUACCACAGCGAGGAGGGGCUUGGGGAUGUUUGGUUGUUGGGGAGUGGGGUGCAGUGCAUGCAAAGUAGUUGAUUACGCAAGAGAAGGAAAGGACGGUAUGCAGGAAGUGUUGGGAGACAGUUCCCCACGGACCCUUCACAUUUCCGUAUUUUUGUGACAGUUUUACCCAGAUGAUCUUUCUGGGGAUGUUUGCCUAGCAGGCGACCUUGGAAGGAACUUCUAGGCGUGUCUCUGCUCGCAGGACAGAAAGGUACCUCCUUCCACAACAGACACUGGCGCUUUGCCAGUGGUCCCUUUAACAGACUGCGGUCUCCUAAGCGCGGGGUUCCUCAGCUGUGACUCGGAUCUGUGUACACACCUCCCACCUGCCGGUCGUAGGGAGGGGAACAGGGCCACCGCCUCCGUCCUGAAGCUCGCUCCCCUUCCGUGCUGUGAGGAUCCGUGCAAUGGUCGCAGCCCGGUUGGCUCACACUCGGAGUGGAACUUGGGACUCUUCAGUUCUUGCCAGCAGGGUUUCUGGGGCGGAAGGAGAGAACUGAGCCCAGGAUCCUGGGAGGCAUUGACCUUGGGCUAGGAAUGGUAGGAUGGUGAUUUAAAGAUCUUCUGUUUAUCUUCGAUUUUCAUCCCUUCAGUUACGAUGUGCCUGGGAGAGGUUUUGUUUGUGUUUCUCCUACUUGAACUUUGCUGAGCCUUUUGCAUCUGUGGGGUGAUAGGCUUGAUCAAAUUUAGAAAAAUUUUAGUUGCUAGUGCUUGAAGUAAACAAUUAUGGAGACCAUCUGUGUGUGAAGUUACCUACUCUACAUGUCUAAUAUAACAGGUGACGUCAGUGCUUCUGAGUUUUGCCUUCUCAAUCAAGUUUUGCAGUUCCAGGGAGUGUUCAUGACAUUUUUCAAUUUUUAAAAGUUUAUAAAUUUGUAAUAUGAUGUGAUUUCUUUUCUCAUUUUAAAGAAACACUCACUUCUAUAACUAGUUUUCAGUUCCUAAUUGUGAGUUCUUUUUCUUAAAGAACUACCAAGUCUACCAAGCGGUGUAAGCUUCAGGCUCCACAAAAUCUGCAUCUACCCCAGGCCCAAGCCACAUGGGGUCAUACGACUUGGGAUGAAAGUCUUGCCCAAGGAAAAGGGAGAGAUCCCAACUCUUAGGGCAGAGAAGCUGAGCCAGUCCCAGUACCUGGAAGGAAGCUCCCCCACCGCCAUCCCAAGGAAAAGGGAGAGUACGUUUGUUUCUCUCUGGCUUGGAUGGUCCCUGGUAUCUAUUUCAACUGAGGGUGGGUCUAUUUCCUCCGUGAUAAAGGCUCACUUACAUCAGGCAGGGGAGGGACCAUGAGCCAUCCCAGUACCUGAACUGUGACACAUUAGCAUUUGUGUGUACACAGGGUCUGCCACUGGUCUGGGGACAUCUUGCAGGAUAAGGGUCUCACAGGAAUCUGAGCCAUGGAAUGCCUGUCGCCAGAUAUCCAGCUCAGUGUCUGGUCCAUGCAGAUAGAAGUUGUCAAUCAGCAUUGCAAUGGGAAAAGGUCUUUUGCCACAAUACUUACCUCAGUCACCUAGAAAAAUACCCCACAUCUCAGAAUUACAAACUUACUCUUGGGGAUCUUGAAAAUUUCUAGGAGUUUGACACUACUUAUUAAAAUACAGAUUCCUUGGGAGAAAAGUUACAAUUGAUUGUAUAUUCACAAUUUUUACAAGAUGAAUAUGUAAGUGCUUCCCACUGUGUGAUAUUUACCAUACAAGUUCCCCCACCUCUCUCCAGCGAGAGAGCCAGGGCCAGGCUGCAGGUUGCAUGUGGUUGGGGAUUUGGGUGGGUGCUGGUUGUACAGGUUCGGUCUUAGGUUGAGAUCCCAAAGGCAGCUUUCCUCCUCUGCUGCUUACCUAGUUCCAAACACAGAAGAUACUGGGACAUAAGCGUUGGGUCACCGUUAGGACAUUUAGAGGAAGACCCAUAGAAGCAGCUUUGAAUCACUAAAAAUAUCAAUGUGGACAAGAUGGAGCUACAGUUAGGAAUGGCUGGGUUUCUUCCUCAGCCUUUCAGGCAGCUGUUUGGUUUCUGCUGCAUGACUGAUGAGUGCUCAUAACAUCUGAGUUGCCACAGUGAGUGUUUUCUGUGGCAGUAGGGGAAGGGACCACCAGAAUUAUUCUGCUGUACGUUAGGCCACAGUCUCUGGGUUUACUGAGGCAGUAUUUCCUACACAUGUUCCCGUGCUUUUAAAUUAUUUAUUUUUUAUUAUUCAGGUAGAUAUUUUUGUACCCCCAGAAGUUCCAUCAGAAGCUGUUUUCCUGGCUUUUCUUCUUUUCCCCCACUGUCCUGGCAUGGAUCCGGGGCAGCAGGGCCAGGCAGUGGCAUAGGUAAUAAGGGGUCCAGAGAGAGGGAAGCUCCCCUUUGUCAUUGUGUGGUCUCCCAUGUCUGUAAAGACAGUGCUAAUUUCCAUCCGUGUUGGGUUAGGAAGCAACAACUGUAAAAAUUCACUUAUAAUAAGCACCCCAAGGAUUAAAUGAAAGAUGUAGUAGUAGUAAUAAGACCCUCUCAAGUUGGAAUUUUCUCAGUAGCCACUAUUUUUUCCUUCUGAACAAUACACAAAUGUAUACUUUAAAAAAAUCUUUACUAAUAUAUUUUAUAUGUGAGUUGUUUGCAGUUACUGUGGAGAAGUAGAGGCUCUUAGUACAAUUCUUGUCACUCAGACAAUUUCAAAUGAUUCCUCAGCUGUUGUCCCUGGGCUACCUAUUAAUUCUAAGUCUCCCAGCUUCUUUUCUGGGUGUACCCAGCCAUCCCCUACACCUCAUCCGAAGUAGAAUAAUGGGAAGCUCUCUGCUUAAAACCCUCAGAGAGCUUCCUAAUGGAUACCUCUGGGUGAGAGCCUAGUCUAGUAACAGGAGAAAGGACCCCGUCUGUUGCUCCUCUGGGUCCUGCUCAUGCUUCAGGCUGGCUCAGUAAGCCCCUCUGAUCCACACCUUCUACAGACCUGUAGCUCCCACGCAGCCAAGCUACUGCCUGAUUCAUGUUUCUGUACAUAUUGCUCUAUUCCUGGAAUAUAUAUCUCUUCUGGGAUCUGCCUGACACACUCUACUUUUUUGGCUCUAAUAUUUAGAUGUUCACUUGAGAAUAAAGAACAAUAUUGUACAGUACUUCGUAUGCUCAGAAUUCAUUUAAACAGUAGCACAUUUUAUUUUAAUCCUUUGUAAAAAGAAAGAAAACAUUUCAAAUAGAGCUGGUAUCACCCAUAUACUCCUUUCCGAUCUUAUCCCCCUGCCUGAGAGAACCACUGCCAUGAGUUUAUAUUUAUUUUAUACUUUUAAUGUUUUAAAUAUUUUUAUUAUGCAUAUAUUCAUAGCAUUGUAUAACAUUUAUUUGCAAGUUUAAAAAUCUGAUGAGCAUGCACCAUGUAUUUGUAACUUUGCAGCUUGUUUCUUUGUUGUAGGCAUACUCUUGGUAUAAUAUAGUACUUUAUUAUACAAAUAAAUAACUCAUC
Molecule: long non-coding RNA, 4610 nt
Filed under: Heterocephalus glaber (naked mole-rat)
Lineage: Eukaryota; Metazoa; Chordata; Mammalia; Rodentia; Bathyergidae
Description: lncRNA (ENSHGLG00000044037.1)
Source: RNAcentral